Molecule: non-coding RNA, 840 nt
Organism: Peromyscus maniculatus bairdii (prairie deer mouse)
Lineage: Eukaryota; Metazoa; Chordata; Mammalia; Rodentia; Cricetidae
Source: RefSeq, a predicted model, not a curated record
CCUGGCUGAAAGGCGGCUCCGGGCCGGGAAGGUGCGGAAAGAAUGGCUUUUUAUUGGAGUCCCGAACAAAAGAAUCUACAAUAAAGAGUAUAAUUAGGAAAUGCACAAAUCAGCGAAGGGCCAAAAACACUCACGUGCGGAUCACCUUGGCUUUGAAAAAUUAAAUGGCCCAGAAAAAGGGCGACUUAGUUCAAGCUUGUAACUAUGCUCCGUGUGCUUGCUGCUGUGCGGGCUGAGAAUCACGCUUCCAGGGUUCGGGAUUCCACCCAGCAGGCUCGUCCCCCUAGCUGUGCCACUGCAGUUCAAAGACCCAGAGAGGACUUCCCGGCCGCCCACUCCCAACUCUAGGGCCCUGGAAGGACGUAGUGUGAGUGGACACCGCACUGCGUUUGCCGGGCGAUGUUCGAGAGAGGCCGGAUCGCCGGGUCCUCCAGCCGCAGAUACCUAGCCGGUCACUGGCUUGCCAAAGCCGGCUGAGCGGGGAGUGCACCAGCGAGCCCCGAGGACCUGGCCAAGGCUGCGCGAGCACUGGAAGGGCCAGCCAUCCUGACUGUCACCACCUGGGCCAGGAGCCAGGCCAGCACCCUGCAGAGGUAGGAAUCCGGGGUGCGGUGCCACGUGUCCACUGGGCGGGCAGGCUGCGCUGUGGAGGCUUCCCUAUGAGCGCGGUGAUCUCUCAUAGGGAAGCGCAUUAGCUGUAUUGAAGGAACACUUUUCCCUACUCGGGCUGUAGGUAUCAGCUAAAUAGCAGGGAUGUUUUCUGAAGGGGCAUUUUGAAAAUAGGAAGACGCAUACAGGAGAAAGGGGUCUAUAAAGAAAAAGAUACAGUAAACUGCCAAC